Molecule: ribosomal RNA, 825 nt
Filed under: uncultured Sulfurovum sp.
Lineage: Bacteria; Pseudomonadati; Campylobacterota; Epsilonproteobacteria; Campylobacterales; Sulfurovaceae
Description: bacterial SSU rRNA
Rfam family: Bacterial small subunit ribosomal RNA
Source: RNAcentral
UAGGCGUAAAGCGCGCGCAGGCGGCUAGAUAAGUUGGAAGUGAAAUCCUAUGGCUCAACCAUAGAACUGCUUCCAAAACUGUUUAGCUAGAGCCUGGGAGGGGAAGAUGGAAUUAGUAGUGUAGGGGUAAAAUCCGUAGAGAUUACUAGGAAUACCAAAAGCGAAGGCGAUCUUCUGGAACAGUACUGACGCUGAGGCGCGAAAGCGUGGGGAGCAAACAGGAUUAGAUACCCUGGUAGUCCACGCCCUAAACGAUGAAUGUUAGUCGUCGGGACUCUAGUAGUUUCGGUGAUGCAGUUAACACAUUAAACAUUCCGCCUGGGGAGUACGGUCGCAAGAUUAAAACUCAAAGGAAUAGACGGGGACCCGCACAAGUGGUGGAGCAUGUGGUUUAAUUCGAAGAUACGCGAAGAACCUUACCUAGCCUUGACAUAUUUUAGAACUCCGCAGAGAUGUAGAGGUGCCUUCGGGAGCUAAUAUACAGGUGCUGCACGGCUGUCGUCAGCUCGUGUCGUGAGAUGUUGGGUUAAGUCCCGCAACGAGCGCAACCCUCGUUCUUAGUUACUAACGGUUCGGCCGAGGACUCUAAGAAGACUGCCUUCGUAAGGAGGAGGAAGGUGAGGACGACGUCAAGUCAUCAUGGCCCUUACGGCUAGGGCAACACACGUGCUACAAUGGUUAGGACAAUGAGACGCAAUACCGCGAGGUGGAGCAAAUCUAUAAACCUAAUCUCAGUUCGGAUUGUAGUCUGCAACUCGACUACAUGAAGCUGGAAUCACUAGUAAUCGUAGAUCAGCUAUGCUACGGUGAAUACGUUCCCGGGUC